Molecule: unclassified non-coding RNA, 276 nt
Filed under: uncultured fungus
Lineage: Eukaryota; Fungi
Description: partial contains small subunit ribosomal RNA, internal transcribed spacer 1, and 5.8S ribosomal RNA
Rfam family: Eukaryotic small subunit ribosomal RNA (bases 1-73)
Source: RNAcentral
UCAAACUUGGUCAUUUAGAGGAAGUAAAAGUCGUAACAAGGUCUCCGUAGGUGAACCUGCGGAGGGAUCAUUACAGAGUUGAACAAACUCCCAAAACCCACUGUGAACCAUACUAGAUUGUGACCUUGGCGGGUCGCUCCUGGGAGGAGCCUCAGCCGACCGGCACCCGCCGGGGGAACAAAAAACUCGUUUCAGCGUAUUCUCUGAGUACAAUCACAAAAAGUCAAAACCUUCAACAACGGAUCUCUUGGUUCUGGCAUCGAUGAAGAACGCAGC